This 120-nucleotide ribosomal RNA is filed under the name miscellaneous Crenarchaeota group-1 archaeon SG8-32-1. The record is from RNAcentral. RNAcentral also lists the same sequence under 1 other name. Lineage: Archaea; Thermoproteati; Candidatus Bathyarchaeota.
GUUGCCGGCCAUAGGGCGUGGGACCCACCUGAUCUCAUUCCGAACUCAGAAGUUAAACCAUGCUCCGUUUCUGGUGCUAGUGUGGUCUUCGGCCAUGUGAAGCCGGGAAAGCUGGCAAUC